UGGAUUUGCUCUGUAAAUUAGCCUGGCC
This 28-nucleotide non-coding RNA is filed under the name Mus musculus (house mouse). Lineage: Eukaryota; Metazoa; Chordata; Mammalia; Rodentia; Muridae. The record is from RNAcentral.